UGGGGAAUAUUGCACAAUGGGCGCAAGCCUGAUGCAGCCAUGCCGCGUGUAUGAAGAAGGCCUUCGGGUUGUAAAGUACUUUCAGCGGGGAGGAAGGUGUUGUGGUUAAUAACCACAGCAAUUGACGUUAACCGCAGAAGAAGCACCGGCUAACUCCGUGCCAGCAGCCGCGGUAAUACGGAGGGUGCAAGCGUUAAUCGGAAUUACUGGGCGUAAAGCGCACGCAGGCGGUCUGUCAAGUCGGAUGUGAAAUCCCCGGGCUCAACCUGGGAACUGCAUCCGAAACUGGCAGGCUUGAGUCUUGUAGAGGGGGGUAGAAUUCCAGGUGUAGCGGUGAAAUGCGUAGAGAUCUGGAGGAAUACCGGUGGCGAAGGCGGCCCCCUGGACAAAGACUGACGCUCAGGUGCGAAAGCGUGGGGAGCAAACA
Molecule: ribosomal RNA, 427 nt
Filed under: uncultured bacterium
Lineage: Bacteria
Description: partial 16S ribosomal RNA
Rfam family: Bacterial small subunit ribosomal RNA
Source: RNAcentral